AGCGGCGGAUGGGUGAGUAACACGUGGGUAACCUGCCCUAAAGUCUGGGAUACCACUUGGAAACAGGUGCUAAUACCGGAUAACAACAAUAGCUGCAUGGCUAUUGCUUAAAAGGCGGCGAAAGCUGUCGCUAAAGGAUGGACCCGCGGUGCAUUAGCUAGUUGGUAAGGUAAUGGCUUACCAAGGCGACGAUGCAUAGCCGAGUUGAGAGACUGAUCGGCCACAUUGGGACUGAGACACGGCCCAAACUCCUACGGGAGGCAGCAGUAGGGAAUCUUCCACAAUGGGCGAAAGCCUGAUGGAGCAACGCCGCGUGAGUGAAGAAGGUUUUCGGAUCGUAAAGCUCUGUUGUUGGUGAAGAAGGAUAGAGGUAGUAACUGGCCCCUAUUUGACGGUAAUCAACCAGAAAGUCACGGCUAACUACGUGCCAGCAGCCGCGGUAAUACGUAGGUGGCAAGCGUUGUCCGGAUUUAUUGGGCGUAAAGCGAGCGCAGGCGGAAAGAUAAGUCUGAUGUGAAAGCCCCCGGCUUAACCGAGGAAUUGCAUCGGAAACUGUGUUUCUUGAGUGCAGAAGAGGAGAGUGGAACUCCAUGUGUAGCGGUGGAAUGCGUAGAUAUAUGGAAGAACACCAGUGGCGAAGGCGGCUCUCUGGUCUGUAACUGACGCUGAGGCUCGAAAGCAUGGGUAGCGAACAGGGUUAGAUACCCUGGUAGUCCAUGCCGUAAACGAUGAGUGCUA
RNAcentral lists this ribosomal RNA (738 nucleotides) under uncultured bacterium. RNAcentral's name for it is "bacterial SSU rRNA". It matches the Rfam family "Bacterial small subunit ribosomal RNA", at positions 94 to 818 of the family's 1533-position model. The record is from RNAcentral.